CUAUUGCCCUCUGAUCAAUAGGAGCUCUACAUCGCACUUCGACCAUAACCACUAAAUCUAUAAGGCCUUAAAUCAAACUAUCCCAUCCUAGCCCCUCAAGCAUAAGAAAAUACAUUAAAUAUACCUUCAUCUAACCCUAGACAUCUUUGCUAUCAACUCAUCCCUUCAUCUUCUGUAAAUACCCCUCUAAACUUAGCCAAAGACAAGACAGAAAAUGACAAAAAAUAGUUAAGCUUUCGGAGAGGCUAUCCAAGUAAAUAUAAAGAAAAUCCUGGCCUCUCUUCAUUCAUGUCUUCUUCUACCUUCAGAAAUCUUAAAAAUCUAAUCUUGAUUCACCACUCAAACCAAGUCCUGGCAACCAAGGCAAGGAAGUCUUGAUCCUCCAGUUUGAGGUCCUAUGCAAGUAAAGGCUUGAUAUCAAAGGGAAAUGGAGAGGAAGCAGCAUCAAGAAGCAUCUAGAUGCCAAUUUCUUCUCUUCCUCCCUUUCUCAUUAUUUUUUUAUUGUUCUUCUUUGAGCCUUCCAUCAAGGCCUUAACCCUAGCCUAGAAUGAAAGUAGGAUCCUCUCCCUUAUCUCUAGGAACUUUAGUUUCCAAGGGGUUGUAGCAUACACUAUUUAGCCCUUCCUCAA
RNAcentral lists this long non-coding RNA (629 nucleotides) under Phoenix dactylifera (date palm). RNAcentral describes it as "long non-coding RNA (PDAC_LNC002257)". Lineage: Eukaryota; Viridiplantae; Streptophyta; Magnoliopsida; Arecales; Arecaceae. The record is from RNAcentral.